AGCUGGGUGUCAAUUAAGUCUUUUUGAUCUCGAGGGCGGAAAUUGCUUUCUUGUGAUGGAAUUUGCGAGACGAAUUGUUCGGCACAACUUCGAUCAAUUAGUUGCAGUGGAGUGGAAACUUUUAAUGACUGUUUACUUUAAAAUCGUUUACUUAUAAGCAAUAGGUUUCUAAAAAAAAGUCGUUCCGGAUGUUGAAUAGAUAAUUUCUUUAGAAAUGAGCUACUAGGCAUUAGCAAUUACUUAGUAACUUGGAAUGUUAUUGAUUAUGUAAAUCCUAUGGUACUUUCAUUCGUAUGUUGCGAUUUAAUUCACGCAGACUAGGAUUAAGUGUAUUUGUUUUCAGUGGAUUUCUUUUUAUUCAUGUUGUGUUGUAAUUAAUAUUCAGUUAGCCAUUCAUCAUUGAUUUGCCACAAGAUGAAACUCGAAUGUAUCGAAGAGGGCCAGACGUCGCAGAAUAAAUACGGGGUUCGCUGAAAUCAUUGAUGAUAUGAAGAAAGUUGAAGGACCAGGCGCCGUUUUCCCCGGAAAACCUGGAGACGAGAAUGCUGUUUUACCUGAUGUCCAUUGGACAGUGCCAGUCCCCUCGGGACUCGCGUUGUGUGGAAGUGAAAAGCAAGUCCCACCGUCCGGAUAACGUUGGUGCCGGAUCAAAGCCCGAGAAAUUCAGUUUGAUUAAUUUGUUGGACUG
Molecule: long non-coding RNA, 688 nt
Organism: Dendronephthya gigantea
Lineage: Eukaryota; Metazoa; Cnidaria; Anthozoa; Malacalcyonacea; Nephtheidae
Exons: 4
Source: RefSeq, a predicted model, not a curated record